AAAGAGUUUGUGAUAUAAACAGUUAUGAUCUCACUUCCUGGUCCCUGGCUUUGCCUUUUCCGCUGAGCUGAUGCUUGGAAUGUACCCGGUGCCUGCAAUGUGACUCUUUUUCUUUUUCCCAAGACAGAGUUUCUCUGUCCUGGAGCCCUCUCUGGAGACCAGGCUGGCCUCCAACUCAGAGAUCCUCCUGCCUCUGCCUCUCGAGUUCUGGGACCGCCAUCUGACUGUGACUCUCUCUGUUCUUGGCAGUCAGAAAGUACUUCAGCGUUGCAGCUCACAGAGGAAAUGAGCUAUGCAGAGGGAACUGGGAAGACCAUCGGGAGGAGACCACUGAAGGGGACCCUAGCCUGACAUUUCAGAAAGUAGAUAUCUGUCCCUCCUGACUGGAAUGCCCUCUCAUGCCAUGGAGCACUCUCUUCAGGUUCACAGGACAUAACAUGGUAUUGGAGUCACCACGGAAACCAAGGGUCAUCACUCUGUUCUCAGCUCACAAGGCUUCUUCUUUUUCUGUCUCUCCAUACUAGUUUUUAAACCAAGGUAUCCAUGGAAACGCACGCCUUCUGGAUACUCUGCUCUCCAAGGUUGACUCUGAAGAAUGGAUGGAAGGAGAGAGAGUUUCUUUCCACUGUUAGAUGCUCCUGCCAGACUGGAGAGGAAAGCCUGUUGACAAACACAACAGUGAUCGAGUUCCCUGAAGCCAGCCAAGAGGCUCACAGAAGAGUUAAACAUUCAAGGAACCAUAACGACCAAAGACAAAGUUUAAAAAAUAGCUUGACAGGCCUGCACACUAGAAGCCGCAAGGAGGUUCUCUCAGGGAUUCUCAGGAGGAAAAUAUGUACUAGGGGGGAAAAUCAACGAGUUAGUAGGAGUCAGAGAGAAGACAGCAGCAACAGCAAAGGAGAAACAACGUGGGAAUAGUUGACACCCAUGAUGCUGUACCAUAGGCUGGAACGAAUGAAACCUUAAGGCUCACAAAGACAUGCAAAUUGAUUUUCCUAAAGUCUAAAGACUGAGAUUGGGGCUGGAGAGAUGGCUCAGGGGUUAAGAGCACUGACUGUUCUUCCAGAGGUCCUGAGUUCAAUUUCCAGCAACCACAUGGUGGCUCACAACCAUCUGCAAUGAGAUCUGGUGCCCCCUUCUGGCCUGCACUGUAUACAUGAUAAAUAAAUAAAUCUUUUUAAAAAAAGACUGAGACUGAUGGAAAUAAUAAAAAAAUAAAACUCUCCUGAUCUAUUUGCUUCAGGAAUAAAAAAUCUUUGGGACACGUGUGGUUCCACACAACCAAACAGAGAGCAAAAACAACAAAUAAUUUCAACUAUUUAUAUGUAGAUUAUUUUUAAAAAAUUGCUCUUGCACAUGAUCAGAAGGGGAAGCAGAAUAAAUCAUUUAAGCUAUUACAUCAUCCUGUCCCCGUUUUGAGUCCCUGUUUGACUCAGAGGUGUUGAGGUUUUCCCUGGUUUGGUGUCCGCACUGUUCUGCUGAUUCUUCCCAACACUGACGCUCAGAGAGCACUCGUGAUGUCUUGCUGAUUGAUGGGAGAAUCAAUGAAAGGCAUUCCUGUCUCAGUCAGCAUUGAUUUUCCUUUGUGGUUGGUCCUUGCAUGGCCUUUUGACAGAGGACUAAUGGUUUACAAUCCUGUCAUCAGGAAUAUAACAAUAUUGCACAUUACCAGGCCUAUAAAUACAGCUUCCCCAAUGACAGAGAUGUGGAUCUCAGGCACCUUGGUAGUCUAUUGUAUUUCACUGUUCUCUUCCUGUGACAGGAAAAUUCAUUAUGACCACAGACACCAUGCUUGUCACAGGACUUACUUUGGCUCGUAGCAUAUGGUGGAAAUGAAGAAUGUUACCACCUUGCAUGAGUUUUGUUCUUUUUGCUUGGAGACCUGGUCCUGCUAGGUACCCUAUGCUGUCUCAGUUCCCAAGUGCUGGGAUUACAGGAGUGUGCCACCAAAUCUGGCUUCUAGCACAAGCUUUAGGAGCUGUCAUGUUUCCCUAAGGUCCGUGAGCCCCACAUAGGGGCUGCUUCUUUGGCCUGGAUACUGGAAAUGGACACAACAUAGAUUAACUCCAAAUUCAGCAAUGCAGAGACUCAUAACUGGCAAGUGUGCUUGGAAUUAGUGGCUACUGAGUGCUCAGCCCCAAACCAGACUUCCUCACAAGAGUGGGGGGUGGGAGAGAACGGAAGAGCCAGGGGAUGGGAAGAGAGCUGUGGAAUCCUGCCUUCUGGACAGGACUCGGCUCUGCCUUCCUGAACUCACUAUAGGUAUGGUUACUUGCACAAGACCAAGUCAACAUUCCAUCAGGGAGCACCAGAGUCCGUGAGUUACAAAACCAAGCAAGGACACGAAUGUGAGAUGGGGGUGGGGGGGCGGGGGUUGAGGGAUGUCUAAGAGGAGUGGGAAGGGAGAUUGGGAGUUGGUGGUGGGUGUGAUCAAGAUACAUUAAAUGUGUGUGUAAAAUUGUCAAAGAAAAAAUAAAAAGUUAUUCUUAAGAAAAUGCAUUAACUUAAAAGAUGCAGCCUGACUGCUUAAAAGUUCCCAAGUUCAUGAGACUUGAACCCUGAAACUGAGCAUUUGAAACAUACGACGUUGAAGUUUGGGGGAGGUGCUGCAGUGUAGGUUUCCGUAAGCUGAUUGCUCAGAAGUCUCUCAAGUGUGUUGACUUACAUUGGUUUUCAUAUGGCCUACAUGGUUCUCUGAAGGACUCUUGAUUUAAGAAGAAGAAAGCUGACAAGUGGGUCAUUGCAGAUUAGCCCUCCUUCCCAUGAGAGUCAAACGGAAGGUGUUUCAGAUAACCACUCUCGAAGGCAGAAUGGCCUUACUUGUGAUGUGUUUAAAUCACACCACUCUGAAAUACUUAGAGCACUAUAAAAGGGUAUGGGCGAGUCAUAGCCCCAGCGCAUAUA
This 2904-nucleotide long non-coding RNA is filed under the name Cricetulus griseus (Chinese hamster). RNAcentral's name for it is "lncRNA (ENSCGRG00015015570.2)". The record is from RNAcentral. Lineage: Eukaryota; Metazoa; Chordata; Mammalia; Rodentia; Cricetidae.